UUAGGAAUUUUCCGCAAUGGGCGAAAGCCUGACGGAGCAACGCCGCGUGGGUGAUGAAGACCUUCGGGUUGUAAAGCCCUGUCGGAGGGGAAGAACUAUGACGGUACCCUCCAAGAAAGCCCCGGCUAACUACGUGCCAGCAGCCGCGGUAACACGUAGGGGGCGAGCGUUAUCCGGAUUUACUGGGCGUAAAGCGCGUUAAGGCGGUCGGCAAAGUUGGGGGUGAAAUUCCAGGGCUCAACCCUGGAACUGCCUCCAAUACUGGUCGACUUGAGUGCGAGAGAGGAAGGUGGAAUUCCCGGUGUAGUAGUGAAAUGCGUAGAUAUCGGGAGGAACACCAGUGGCGAAGGCGGCCUUCUGGCUCGCAACUGACGCUGUAGCGCGAAAGCGUGGGGAGCGAACGG
RNAcentral lists this ribosomal RNA (404 nucleotides) under uncultured bacterium. Its description in RNAcentral is "bacterial SSU rRNA". It matches the Rfam family "Bacterial small subunit ribosomal RNA", at positions 355 to 775 of the family's 1533-position model. The record is from RNAcentral.